UAAAGCAAAUAUUUGGUUCUGGUAUAAUGUUAGCUACAGAGUUUUUUACAUUACACAAUGUAGGAUAAUUUCGUGAUGUGUAAAAGUCUGAUUUAUGUGAUAAGCCAAAUUUAAGGCGCCCUAAAAGGAGUGGUAUGGCAGCAGGAGCAUAAGUCUUAUGAUGAUGACGCGAAGGAAAUCACAACUCAAGUGGGUAGAUCUGGAAAUCAAUGAGUUCUAGCUUGAAACGAAUAAAAAACUAACUAAAUCGAAGCGAAAGAGGGUGCCAGCAGCUGCGGUCACUCCCUCUCUCGAGGAGCUAAUAAGGGUGCAGCUUAGAGGCAGUUAGUCAAAAUGUGUGACGCAAGACAUACAGCAGGGACUAUGGGUGAAAUCUCAGUCUUGCGGGAGGUCCAAAGCUUGCGUAAAGAUGAAUCUGCGAAGUUAUGGGCAUAGACCCGGAUUUGGUACCCGGUUAUUCCAUAAUGUCAAGUAUAGCUAUUUUAUUUGAAUUAAUAGUUUGCUAGGGGUACUACGAGCAACUGCUUAAAACUCGAAGAACUUGGCGGUUCCGCAUAACCAUCCAGAGGCUCUUGGCGCUUAAUCUGAUGAUCCGCGUGAUAUCUUACCUGCCCUAUAGAAAGCAGUGUACUGCCGUCGAAAGCUUAUGAUGUGAGUAAGUAAAAAUAGGCCCAAUCUUGGGGUUUUAAGAAAUUAAUAAUCAUACCGAGGCUAGGUCAGGUCGAAGUGCUCCUUAUGGGCAAGGGGUUAGCUGAGAGACAAAUAUUUAGACAUAUAAAGAUUUUAGAGAUGAAAUUCUCUUAGUGUAUAUAAGGAUUUGGGAGUAAAAAGAGAGUAAUUCGUUUUUUUGAAAAGACGCAACUGCGGUGCGUUCAAAUCGCCCGUCACCCUAGCCGAAAGGAGAGGUAAGUCGUAACAUGGUAAGGGUAGGGGAACUUGCUCUUUUAAU
Molecule: ribosomal RNA, 949 nt
Rfam family: Microsporidia small subunit ribosomal RNA (bases 180-948)